RNAcentral lists this ribosomal RNA (180 nucleotides) under uncultured bacterium. Its description in RNAcentral is "partial 16S ribosomal RNA". It matches the Rfam family "Bacterial small subunit ribosomal RNA", at positions 521 to 700 of the family's 1533-position model. The record is from RNAcentral.
UAAUACGUAGGGGGCAAGCGUUGUCCGGAUUUAUUGGGCGUAAAGAGCGUGUAGGCGGCUAGGUAGGUCCGUUGUGAAAACUCGAGGCUCAACCUCGAGCUGUCGAUGGAAACCAUCUGGCUAGAGUCCGGAAGAGGAGAGUGGAAUUCCUGGUGUAGCGGUGAAAUGCGCAGAUAUCAG